GAGAGUUCCAUAAUCCUAUACAGAAUUUAAAAAUAAGAGAAAGAGUAAGAAGACAAAAAAGCUUAGGGUGUUCUAAUGAGACAGGUAAAUCUUUCUUAAAUUUUACAGGAAACUAAAGAAAAAAGAGAACAAGAAAUGAGCUGUCUUUUAACUCAAGCACUUACAUACAUAAAACUUAUUACUGGUCGCCAGCCACAUUACAGAAGGAUUAACCUGAAUAAUGAUUAUUGAUUUUGUCUGCCUUCUCAAUCGAAACUCAUUGCGUGUAUCCAUCCCACGUAAUCCUAUCUGAAUUGAAACAGCAGAGGAAUCCACAACCAUUGUCUUUCUAGGAAACCUUAAAGACGCAUUACAAACUUCUACUCUUAUAAUCACCAUACGUAAUGUAAUCCAACCUGCUGCAACCCCAUACGUGAAUUACCAAAACCUAAGUAUAUUGGAUUACCCUUUCUAUAACUCUUCAAAAACCAAAGGAAGAACAUUGUACAUACAAUUAUAAAAAUAUAUUUUGAGUUCCUUCCUCCUGGUGUUUCGAUCUGCCUGAAUAUGUACAUGAGCUAUUUGCAUAAAGAAAGAAAAAAACUACUCUUUUAUCUCCUUUGACUAUUUAGUCAUCACUGGAAAGUGCAAAAAACUAACCUUUUAAAAAAAGAGGGGGGGGGGGGGAGGAGGGGGGGUAUACAAAGUUCUCUUCUGCUUCAACACAAACUGCUUUGACCAAUGAAUUGAUCCAUCACUUUACUACACUAACUUUUAUCUACUGUACAGUGCUCCAACUACAUUUAAGUCCUCAAGUAAUUUAACGACAAUUGGCUAAAUGCUUUGAUCUCUACUUACCUAAAUAGAAGGUCAUUGAGACUAUUUCUUUGCAUACUACAAGUGCAUAGGUAUAGGCUUUCCCCUGUUGAGAAUGACAUAAGACUUUAAUUAAUAGACUUUUAUUUGGAGUAGUAGUUUUUAAGUGUUAUUGGAGCCUUCAUACCAGUCAUGUUCAAGUAUCUUAAAUUUUGUAGGGACCAAUUUCUAGUAUGGUACUGAACUUUACCCACAAUAAUAAUAAAAUUACUACCAAACUCAGUUAAUAAGCACAUCAAGAAACUGAUAAGUACCUAUAUAAGCCAUCUCUCCCCAAGCAUAACAAGAUAUUACAGAUUUUAUGUUGCAAUAACCACCCCUUAAUCGGGGACGAUCUCUACAAGAGUAAUCUUAAUUGGUUGCCAUUCGGAUUGAGGUUGUAUAAGCCAUUCUUAAUAGCCAUCUGCAAGAUCUGAAGUAUUUUGCCUAAAGCAAACUCCUUUAGGCAUAAUUUCUUAAUAAAUUAUAGCUGCUUCAAACCUAGUGAAAGAUCAAGUAAAUAAGCAAGCUCGGGAUUGGCAUAUAACAGCCAGAUACACAUGAGGAAGCAUCUUUUCUUUUCUUUCGAAAAGGUAAAUCAAACCUAGUGAAAGAUAAAGUAAAUAAGCAAGCUCAGGAUUAGGAUAUAACAGCCAGAUACACAUGAGGAGGCAUCUUUUCUUUUCUUUUGAAAAGGUCAAAUAGACCGACACAAGGAACCAUUUUUAGAGGACCUAACAAAGAUAAGAUAUGCUUAGCAUUAUCCUGAUCACAAUUGACUUUUACACAAUACAAUUGUGUGCUUUGAAUAAACACCCUGGACGUCACACGGUGUUUACAAUCCCGAAGGACCACAAGCUAACCCAUGACUGGUACCUGCUGUGAGCACUGAAUGAUAAUACUGAUAACAUACGCAGAAAUAUAACUGAAAUGUCAUAAGGUUCUCAAGAUACUGAAAUAAAUACUAAAUACUGAUAGUAAUACUGAAAAACUGAGCAUCUGUCUGAAAUAGUCUAGUCCAGAAGCCUCUAACUGUCUGAACAUGGAGUUGAUGGAACAAGUGAUACGAGUACGAUCGUGAUUGUGGAUCAAUACGUAAAGAACCCGUGCUCGAGUGACUAGCCAACUAAUGGAACAAGCUUUAGAGUGUUGGCUCAUUAAGGGCAUUUUAAUCAUUUUGUCAUAAGUUGUAACCUAGGCUAUAAAUAGAACAUAUUAGGUCAUUUUCUCAUAACUUAGAUGAUAUUUUGAGAGCUCUUUGAGAGUGUUCAUACAAGUGUGGAUAUCACUUGUGAUAAGUGUGGAAUCACUUGUGUUGGUUGCUUGUUUUGAAACGUUGGUUGCUUGGGGAUUCCGUUCCCUUGAGGUCACCAUAAGAAUUUGAUGUUAUUUGUAUGAAUUCUUGGAUCUUAGUAUUCAAUAUACACUUUGGUUCAUAGUGUUUGUGCAUUGUGUGUCAAGUUAUCUAUCAUUCUAUCUUAUUAUUGUUAUUGUGUUCAUUCUCAAUUUUGGGUGUCCAACCCGAGAUCUUGUUGUGUCAUUUUUGUUCUUGUUAUUGUGUUGUAAUCUUAGUUUGUGGCUCGCUGAUUAUAGGUGUUGAAAACCUUAGAAUCUUAUUGUUAUCGUGCUUGUAUUGUUAUUGUGUAGUGAAUUCGAGAGGGGUCAUCAAAAGGGGUCCUCGGUUCUUCAAAUCAUGGACUAUUUUGGUGUGUGUUAGUGUCUUCCUUGUCGAUCUUGUAUCAUUUGGUAUCAAAACAUGCUUGAUUUCGUUUUCACAAGAUCAAUCUAGCUUAAAAAUACAAAAAAAAAAAAAAAGUGUAGAAGUUGUUCUUGUUCUUGGCCGAGACAUGUUUCUUUGUGGCUAGAUCUUGUAGUCUUUUGUUUGUUUAGAUUGUUUCUAGUGUUGGUUUCUUUCUCACCAACACUAAAGUGUCUAGAUCUAAAGGUUUGAGCUUAUGUUGUUGAGAUCUUAUUGUUCUUCACAUCUUGACAUCUCUUAAUCAAUAUAAAGUAUAACAUAAAUCAACCACUUUUCCAUAUUUCAAGGACGUUGUUUUGUGGAAAUAGUAAAGUCAAGUCUCACUUUUUGAGUUGGAAUUUGAAAAAGUUUUUAAGACUUGAAUUUUUCCACCAAAAGGCAAACUCAUCCAUCCAAAUUGUAUCAAGACAAAAGCUUCAAAUUGGUGAUUAAAAAAAAAAUUGGGUGGGACCGCGACCAAUUACGUGGCUGCCACGUCAUCACGUUCUACUGUUCACGCAACAUAAGUAAGCUCGAAUUUUUUAAUUUCUUAGUUUCUAAUCUUUGUUUCUUAGUUGCAUUUUGUUGAUUCUAUUGCUAAUUAACAAACUAGUAAUUGUCUACUAGGUUGUAAAUUAGUUUUGGGUCCAUUUAUUCGUGUCUACGUUUCUUUGUGUGCUUUUAUCUUUUCGAAAAUUCGUUGUAGCCUUUUGACUCAAAUACGUACAAAUUUAUUUUGAGUCGUUGCAAACAAAAAUCCAUUCCGACCUUAAGCCGCAAGUGUGACCAAGUAACUUCAUUGGAGUAAAAACGGUGUACCAACACUUGUGAGACCAAUUGAGUGAUACUUCAAAAAGUGUGAGCUUGAGAGUUAGUGAGGGUGAUUUUUGCUAACCUUAACUUGUUAUUGUUUGUGUUUUGUUUAGUAUUUCUUAUUAGGUACAAUGGCUUCGGGUGAAGGUAGUCCAAGAGCCUCGAGAGAGGUAACCAUGGAUGCUUUGUUAGCGGCCAUAAUGAGCGUGAAACAUGAUCUUAGUGGUCGAAUGGAGAGAAUGGAGGAGACUAUGGACGGGAUGGAGGGUUUCUUUUCAAGGAGAAUGGAUACAUUGGAAGAUCGUUUAGAUUCCAACCAUUCAAGUCCGAAACACUACCAUGCCUCGACUAGUGGACAUGCUACCAACCCGGAUACAUUUCCCCAAUUGCUCAAUCCACCUAGACCAACCCAUGAACCCAUCCACCAAGUCCCUACUUAUCCAAAAAACCGAAGUCCAUCAAGAAGCUUCCCAAAUCCUAGACCCCCUUGAUAUGCCGAGAGCACCACUAAACCAAAACCAACCAAUACAAAUUGAUGAUGUGGAAGGUGAAGGGUCUUUAUGGAGGUGAGGGGUUAGAUGAAGCAACUCUCUUUGCAGAAUUUGUGCGCAAUAGAAGAAGAGCUUAUGGCGGGGGACAUAGAGGCCGAGGGGGAAGAGUUGGACCGGCUCCUCAUGGUAGGAGCAACUUGGGACAACGACCUCAUGUUCAAGAAGGUCUAGUGGACCAAGGAGGCAAUGUGGGUAGAGACACGGGCCUAAAUUCCAUUAAGAUCACUCUUCCUUCUUUCAAAGGGACUAGUGAUCCAUCUCUCUAUCUUGAUUGAGAGUUACAAUGUAAUCGGACUUUCCAACUCAACGAGUUAACUUCACAAAAGAAAGUCGCACAUGCCAUUGCUCAAUUUGAAGGUUAUGCAUCCACUUGGUGGGAGACAAAGCGGUUGCAACGGGCAAGGAAUGACAAUCUUGACCUUCCGAAUUGGGAUGAAUUGAAAGCUCUUAUGAGGGAGAGAUAUGUCACGGAAAGGUAAAAACAAGAGCAGCUAGCAAAGCUCUACAACUUAAGGCAAGGAGAUAGAAGUGUGGAGGAGUAUUAUGAUAAGUUUCAAAACUUGAUCCUACAUCUUGACAUAGUCGAACCUCCAAAUCAUUGCCUAGCUCGGUUCAAGGGUGGCUUGUGCUAUGAAGUUGUUUCUCAAUUAGUUGUCCACAAGUUUGACCGAAUUGAGGACCUUGUAGAAGCGGCCAUUGAAGUUGAAAGGAACAACCAUGCUAAGAACACCUUCGGGUGGGACAAGUCCUACAAGCCCUUAGAGAAGAAGCCAUUUGAUAAAACAAUCCAAAGGUAUCCACGACUUGAAGGUACUAAUUCUUCCACUCCUAAUCCUAAGGGUAUCGUUUGUUUUAAAUGUCAAGGUUGGGGUCACAAAGCUAGCGAGUGCCCAAACCGAAGGAACAUUGUACUAAUGGAUGGUGAUCCUUAUUUUGUUGGGGAUAAAGUGACCAAAACUGAUGUUAGUGAAGGAACUCCUCAAGAGGAUGAUGGAGAUGAUGGAGAUGAUGGUGAACCCGAGAGGGUGCUGGAAGAAGGGGAAGUUAAUGUGCCUUGCAGAUUGAUGAGGAGAACAACUCAUGUUGAUGCUUGGCCCGAAGAAGGUGAGGUCUUGAUUCCACCUUGACCUCUUGAUGAUCAAGAACCCAAGAGUACACUAUGGUCCUUGCUCCAAGGAAGUACUCUUUUCUUUUGGUCUUGUUUUUUGUCACGCUUAGGUGGAUAGACAAGUAUUUCUUUUAGUGCUUAGAAGGGUAUCUUAUUCCCUAAGUUCCCACGGUAUGUGUAGAAUAUACACUCGUGGUUUGAUAUUUUUUUGUUGAUUAUGCUAACUUUAACCCUCUCGUCAUGAGGAAUAUGUGUUCUUUUGUCUCCUUUAUUGUUUUGAAGGUUCGGAUUCGAGGUCGAAUCCUUUUUCAAGAAGAGGAGGAUGAUACGAGUACGAUCGUGAAUGUCGAUCAAUACGUAAAGAACUCGUGCUCGGGUGAUUGGCCAACUAAUGGAACAAGCUCUGGAGUGUUGGCUCAUUAAGGGCAUUUUAGUCAUUUUGUAAUAAGUUGUAACCUAGGCUAUAAUUAGAACAUAUUAGGUCAUUUUCUCAUAACUUAGAUGAUAUUUUGAGAGCUCUUAGAGAGUGUUCAUACAAGUGUGGAUAUCACUUGUGAGAAGUGUGGAAUCACUUGUGUUGGUUGCUUGUUUUGAAACGUUGGUUGCUUGGGGAUUCCGUUCCCUUGAGGUCACAGUAAGAACUUGAUGUUAUUUGUAUGAAUUCUUGGGUCUUAGUGUUCAAUAUACACUUUGGUCCAUAGUGUUUGUGCAUUGUAUUUGUUAUUGUGUUGAAAUCUUAGUUUGUGGUUCGCUGAUUAUAGGUGUUGAACACCUUAGAAUCUUAUUGUUAUCGUGUUUGUAUUGUUAUUGUGUAGUGAAUCAGAGAGGGGUUACCAAAAGGGGUCCUCGGUUCUUCAAAUCAUGGACUGUUUUGGUGUGUGUUAGUGUCUUCCUUGUCGAUCUUGUAUCAACAAGUCCCCAACUAACUCCGACUACUGAACUACUGGAAUGUUGAAAUAAUAACUGUCCUCAAAAUAUAAGGACUCACCAAUAUAACUGUUGUUGAUAACCUGAGCUGCAAAGUAUGGUAGGAGCCCGUGCGUCUGAACCUAUGAUAUGAGACAUCAUAGCACAAAAGAAAGAGUAUGCGUCAGUACUUUGAAUGUACUGGUAUGCUAAGUGAGGUAGGGUGAUAUACAUAGGUUCAUAUGCAUAAGAUGAUAACAGACUGAAUGAACAUCAUGAAAUAACUAAAUAAGAGUACAUGCAAAAACUGUAACUACUAAUCAUGCUGAAUAUGCAAUACUGUGCAACUAACCUCUGCCUAAAUUAGACUGAAACUGAAGUACUAAAUUAUGGUGGCUAAGUAACUGAUAGCCAUGGUUCUAUAGAACUAUCUGAGGUCUUUACUGAAUUCUGAGACUAAAUACUGAUUACUACGUAUUGAAUACUGAAAUCGUAACAGUGGGAGUGUUCAUCUAACCGACAUACCCCGAUUAUAAACUGAGUUGGGGUCCAACCUAUGACCCCAGUUGGAAGGGUGUUAGCACCGUGCCACGGGUACUAACAAUGGCUAUGUGGAUCCACUAAUGAAGCACCCUCAUCUGGCAGGUGAGAUAUGUGUUACCCUCAACUGGCAGGUGAACAAUUUAUCAACCCUCAACUGGCAGGUUGAUAUAUUUUAACCUACGCUAGCUAUGUAGUUCUGGAACUCAACUGGCAGUUUGAUAUAUUUUAACCUACGCUGGCUAUGUAGUUCUGGAACUAAGGGACAGCUACUAAAGAUCACACCCUCAACUGGCAGGUGAGCCCCCAUUCCUAGGUUCGCUUGGUGCUGAAUCCUACUCCCAACUGAAUAAACACUAAACUAAUCACUAGACUGUACUAGGCUUGACUGAACUGUUACUGCUCGUGUUGACUGACUAAACUGGACUGGGUUCACAGAGUUCUCUAACUGAAUGAGCACUACUGUUCGUGACACUAGUGAGAUCUGUAGCUACUGUAAUUCUAGGUAAACAGUUAGAUUUUUGGGUAUUGAAUACCCCCAGGACUCGAUAACAUCAAUAGUAUAACAUGGCAAAAUUUUGAAGGCAUUACAUUAAUUACUAUUCACCAUGCAUUCAUUUAGACAUUUUGUCAAACACUUGAGGGGCAUGAACUUGUACAUGAACGGGACCAUAUGGUAACAUGUCAUGAAUUCACUCUUUAAUUACCAUAGGCAUUCUAUCAAACACUUGGGAGCAUAAUUAGUGCACAUAGAAAUCAUCAAGGUAUCAACAUCGUAGCAACAACAUUCAACUUGCAAAUUCAGGGGUUUAACACGAGAAUCACAUAAUUCUACAUACAUGCUAAUUAAUUUACAAUUUUAUAUAAAAGGGAUUAUGAAACUAAGCUUUGUGAAAGCGAAAAUUUCAACAACAAAUAGAAUUCUUUUUUUUUUCUUUCCUUCUUUUUUUUUUUAAGAGCUACAUAUUUUUAUUAUACCCGGACAGUUAAGAUUCAAGUUUACACAAAGAGAUGCAAAGGAUGAACUUUCGUAUAAUGCAUACAUAGAGGAAUUAGGACAUGAUACUGUUCAUGCUCAACACUCUGAAGUAGGGAACUAGCUAGACAUGAGAAUAUUUGCAAGACAUAUUUGUCCAACACAAUUCAUUCACACACACACAAGGAAAUUGAGAGAUUCAAGAAACAUCAUGGAUGAAGAACGGAAGUCAACAGAUCAUUCAUUUCAAGCGAAGAGUUGGCAAUACAAAAAUGGACCAUGAAUUUAAGGUCAAAGGAAUUCCCUUUCCAUGGGUUAUGGAUGAAAUCCCUCACACCUAGAUAGGAUUCAUGUAAUCUUUCUACCACUUUGAUAUUAUUUAAAACCAAAUCCAAACCAUCCUAGAUGUAGGAUGAAUGGGUAAAUUAUUAAAACAAGACAAAGCUCAGACUUUGUCCUUUAUAAAACAAGAAUAGUACUUGAGAAACUCUUGAGAUUGAAGAUUGAAUUAGCGCAAAGCUCGAUUUUGUCCAACGUUUUACUCUAAAAAAAAAAGGGCCCUAAUAAUAACUAUUUCACUCGGGUUUUUUUCAAGCUUUCAAAGCAUAUUAACAAAAACAAGUAAGAUCUUUAGAUGCUCCCGAAACAUCAGCUUUAUCACAAGUUCAUGAAGGUCACGACAUGACAAAACAACGUAAAGGCUUACUGGAAAACAUUAUAUUAGCAACAAUUUUCAAUUCGAAGGCACUACCAACAAUCGAACAUAAGCUAUGUCUAGUUUUAUAACUGUUAGGUAGAGUAGUGAUCUCCUAAGGUGAUUUCUUAAUGAUAAACCCACUUAGUAUUAAAAUAGACUAAAUAAAAAAUUCCACUAUGCUUUACAGUCAAUCACCUUCCGUAGUACUAGUGAGAACAAAACUUGUUAAUAUUGACUCAUUUCAAUCUUAGGAAUUUCAUAUAACAUUAGGCUAUGUUUACCAUGUAGACCGAUCUCAAAACUCACAACUACAGUGAGAUUCACAUUACAAAUUACAAUCCUAGAAAUAGAAAAAAGACGAGUCUUUUUACCUUUUUGCGGGCAGCGAAUGGGACAGAACGAGCUUUGACGACGAACUUCCGUCACCACAAUUUGAUCCUGCUUCAACGGAAUUCAAACAAAGUCAUCGCAUUUCAAGAGUUGUGUUUCUCGAGAAUCUUGGUUACGUGAGCUUAAAAGCAAGCGCCUUCAGAACCCCAAUUUUUCCCCAAAAUCCUCUGCCUUUCUUCUUUUCAAUCUCCUCUAUUUAUAGAAGGAGAUACUGAUCUUUCAUCUUCAAAAUUUAAAAAUGGAGAAACACAUCCCUUAAAAUUCAGAUUUGACACUGUGACCUCGGACUUGGAUUGGAUUUUGGCAUGGAAGACACUCAAUUUUGAGCCAAAAGCCCACAACAAUGGCUCUAUCUCUGCAAAAUUACAGAGAUAAGAUGGAAAAGAGAGACUUUUCGGGAUUUGGGGGAUUUGUCGUUGAAUUUUGCUGUUAUCAUUUAACGGAUCAGAUUUUGACUGAAUCGGGUUGGUUGGAGUCGUUGUUGAAGGUGCUGACCGAGUCGCCGGUUCCGGGUACGGGUUGGAUGACACCGUCGUUUGUUGAAGUUGUUCCUGUUUGCAUUGAUAUUGUUGUUAAUCGGUUUUUGGGUGUGUUGUGCGUUGUUAUAGCUGAGGUUGUAGAUGACAAUCAGGUAAAGGGGAAUGGAUUUUAAAAGGGCCUUUGGGUCGGGUUGCUCUGUUGGGUAAAAAAUAAUAAAAUGGUUGGUCU
Molecule: long non-coding RNA, 9261 nt
Filed under: Capsicum annuum
Lineage: Eukaryota; Viridiplantae; Streptophyta; Magnoliopsida; Solanales; Solanaceae
Description: long non-coding RNA (CANN_LNC008316)
Source: RNAcentral